Long non-coding RNA from Amphiprion ocellaris (clown anemonefish), 1891 nucleotides. The record is from Ensembl. Lineage: Eukaryota; Metazoa; Chordata; Actinopteri; Pomacentridae.
CAGCGAGGCUAAGCUAGUGGGAGCAAAGUUUCAGUGCAUUCCGUUGAUGUAGACGGCGUGAAAACGGAAACAACAAGUAUGCCGUCUCACUGUGCUGCAUACAAUUACACACUGCGUCGUACGAUUGACACAAGGAAACUUGGAAUGACUUUUCAUAGGUUUCCCAGAGACUAUGGGUUGAGGAGGAAGUGAAAGUUUGUCGGCUUAGACCUGGUGCCAUUCCGUCAGUGUUAAACUUCCUGGCUCAUCUUGGAAGAGUACGUGCCAGAAAGACCACGACCAAGCAGCCUUGAGAUCUUAGGCAGCGUCUCCCUGAGGUCCCUCUCUAUCUCCCCACACAUCCACCAACCACUGGUGCACAUCUCCAAAGUUCUGCCGGGCCAGCUCAGCUUCCCUUCAGAAGAAGUUCCACCAGAUGAAGGAGCCUUUUGAGAGGCAGCUGGCAUCGUGAUUGGACUGUACUUUGGUCUGUUCCAAUCCAGCUUCAGCCCCAGAGACGGCAGGCGGGACGAGUCAACGGAAGCCGGGUGGACGAAGGCAUGCAGCUGAGUACAAUCCAGAAAACAACAGAGGAGGAGUGCAGUGGCCCAGGACCAGAACAAACAGUAGCAUGACCAAAGAACUACAGACUCUUCACAACCUGCUCAAACUCUUGGUACAGGACCUCACCACACGGUCAAGAAGGUUUCCUUCUCCUCAUUUCUACUCUGAAGCUCACCUUCUCCUGCUCAAACUGCUGACAAAUGUUUCUGCUGCUCUAAAGUCUGGUCUCCAGAACUUCCUAAAAACUCUCCAAGUGUCUUCUGCUGCAGGUUGCUAUGUAGAACUGUUGCAGAAAACCUCACUAAACCACAUGGAGGGGCCUCAAGAUAGUCGUCCAAAUGAAACUGUACAAAAACCAAACUAGCACAACCCAAACACUAAAGUCUCCUGCAGCCUACCAGAGAACCUCUGAAAACAGAGAAUCAGGACAGGAACUCUUACCUUCUGGACAACCAACGCUGGUUCUCAAACAAGAAUACAGAAUGUGUCUGACCAAAAACCUCUGAAGACUCACUACAGCCAAGAUAAAGACACAGCUGCACCAAAUCCACUAAUCACUGCACACAUUAGCACCAUGUGCUAACUGUGGCUAAAGAACCUCAUUUACCAAGACAACUAUCCAGUACAAAGCCCGAAAACACACCAAGAAACACAUUAAAGCCGAUUUUACUGCUGGAAGCUGCAAGCCAACGCCUAAAGAACUAACUAAAGCAACAGAGCCAAACCCAGUUCAGUGGUGAAGAGAAGCAGAGGAAAUGUUUGUCUGCAGCUAAAUAAAGCAGGAAGACACUGAGCUGCUCAGGUGUUCCUGAUAACACCAAGCUGCUCAGGUGUUCCUGAUAACACCAAGCAGCCACCUGGACAGCCAAUAGGAACACAGCUUCCUGGAAGUCCAGAGGGCUGGCUUAGUGAAGGAAAUUUAAUUUAAAGUUGAAGCAGAAAGUUAAUAAAGAAAGUUGAAAACCACCUUCUGAUUCCUGAAAUCUCUGAGUUUUUACACAAAGAACACCUGAACAUGUCAAACUGGUUCCAUAGUAGAACCAUCAUUGUAAAAAUGUCAUAGUAUGGUGUGUUGCUCAAAAAACAUUAGGACCUGGCUGUCAGGGGACAAACAUGUAAGAAACAUGAGAACAGAGAGAACCCAACCAGUAGGUCACAGUUUAUCAUCCCCCAGUCAUCUCCUGAAGUCCAUAUGGUGAGAGACAUCAGUAUCUGGUUGUUAAUUUACUAGAGGAUGCUUAUAAUCAUGCUGAUGUGGUCUGUACUCUACAGUAUUUUAGUGACUCAAUAAAUGCCUAAGUUGUUUUUUUAAAAAUGCUUUUUAGUUUUUAAUGAACAUUUAAUAGCC